This 387-nucleotide ribosomal RNA is filed under the name uncultured bacterium. RNAcentral describes it as "bacterial SSU rRNA". It matches the Rfam family "Bacterial small subunit ribosomal RNA", at positions 28 to 416 of the family's 1533-position model. The record is from RNAcentral.
GACGAACGCUGGCGGCGUGCUUAACACAUGCAAGUCGAGCGGUAAGGCCCUUUCGGGGGUACACGAGCGGCGAACGGGUGAGUAACACGUGGGUGACCUGCCCUCAGCUCUGGGAUAAGCCUGGGAAACCGGGUCUAAUACCGGAUAUGACUCCAUGACGCAUGUUGUGGGGUGGAAAGCCUUGUGCGGCUGAGGAUGGGCCCGCGGCCUAUCAGCUUGUUGGUGGGGUGANGGCCUACCAAGGCGACGACGGGUAGCCGGCCUGAGAGGGCGACUGGCCACACUGGGACUGAGACACGGCCCAGACUCCUACGGGAGGCAGCAGUGGGGAAUCUUGCGCAAUGGGCGAAAGCCUGACGCAGCGACGCCGCGUGAGGGAUGACGGCC